Molecule: long non-coding RNA, 1718 nt
Organism: Oxyura jamaicensis (ruddy duck)
Lineage: Eukaryota; Metazoa; Chordata; Aves; Anseriformes; Anatidae
Exons: 2
Source: RefSeq, a predicted model, not a curated record
UUUCUCCUCCCCUUCCCCGAGGCUGCACGAAUCACGCACCUGCCCCGGACACCCCCGGCUCCGGGACCGUCCGCCCCCGCUCCGCCUCCCCGGCCUGCGACACCUGGCAGCGGGGCGGGAGGAGAAGGAAAACGAAAUGCGAAAAAGAGCCUCGGGAAACAGGAAAAGUUCGACGCACGACGCCGGGAGUGGAGGCUGCCUCCUCAGAGAAACGUCCCGCUGGGAGGUCCUUCCCAGGGGCUACCCGCAGGAUCAUCUCUUUCAGGCAAUGCUGCAUGUGACAAAACAGAAAAAGAAACCUCCCAGCAGAUCCAGUGACAUUAACUGGGGCUCUUAGAAGCAAUUAAUUGGAUUCAGCCUUUGGAAGCUACACAGGUUGUUGCUCCUUCAUCCAUCCAACCCAACAGCUCAAAAAUAUGUGCCAAGGUAAGACAGAAACCAUUACUGGCCAGAUCCCUGAAAGGGAUUCACCAAGGGCUGCUUCUGCUUCACUACUGCAGUUUAAAUGAGCCAGUUGGCAAGACUUGUUAUUUAAGUGCUUCAAUCUGCUUUGGACUGGAAGGAGUCACCAACCCUCCAGGGCUCAGCAGGGACUCUAUGGUAGGCCUUUUGGCUGAAAGUAUCUAAAAUCCGUUUAAGACUUUUCUUUGUGCUUAAAACCUUUCUUGGCCCUCGCCCUAAGUAACACAUAAGCUUCAAUUCAAGCCCAUCCUAGGGCCAGGAUUCAGGUUUCAUAGGACAAAAGGUGCAUUCAGUCCAACUGACGAGAAUCCCAAGAGUCAACUCUGGGGUCAGAGGGUUCUGCCGUAUUGCCUACAGGUAUGUGUAUGCAGGGUUUUGAUCAUACUGAAGUACAAGGGCUUUGCCAGCAUGAAUACUCAUUGCCAGAUUCUGUUAAAAAAAAAAAAAAAAAAAAAAAAAAAGUGGUGGGUUUUGCUUUUGUUUUGAUUCGGCAGCAGUCAGUCCUUCCUGCUUGUUAGCAUUUGACCCAGAGGGUAGAACGUGACUUAGAUGUAACUUUUCAUCAUUGUCAAGAAAUCACAUUAUAGGUCAUGAUAUUUAUCUCAGAAGCAAGAUAUGUGUAAUUUUUGCCUUGGUGCCCUGGCUUUGCUAAAACUCGAGUAAUCGUGCUCUUUGUAACUGAAUCUCCUUUGCCAGGUGGAUGUGAGCAGCUUAGAAGCCACAGCAGAGAGAAGCCAGGACUAAACGUAUCUCCUGGGGUGCAGUAAGGCAUGAGACUCAUCUGAAAGCCCUUACUGCCAGUGCUAUAUUUUUUGCUUACAUCUCAUCACAGGCUGCCUCAUGCUACUGCUUUUACCCCUAUCUGCAGACCCCAAUAACAUUGUUCCAUUUUGCCCUACCACUCUUCUUACCAAAUGUCCAUACACAGCUUGGUGAUUAGGCCACUAUCAGCAUCAGUUUAGCAGUGCACGAGUGUAUUUCCUCUCAUUACCCCUCCUCCUGCCCACCUAUCUUCACCAUUUACCAGUUCCUCCUUUUCCAGUCCUUUUCUGGCGAUGCAGAGUGAAGCAAGGGACAGCUUGACUGACUCUUCCUGGAGUCCACCACAGUAGACCAAGUGGCUGGGUGGGGACACGCAGCACAAACUCACUUCAUGCUUGAGGAAACACAGCUAAAAAUUGAGAGAAAUCUUGAUCAUCUCUCCCACUCCGUGAGCUGUGUUCUGAAGAUGAUAUAUUUAACUUGUUAAAAAAAAA